RNAcentral lists this ribosomal RNA (253 nucleotides) under [Clostridium] colinum. RNAcentral's name for it is "partial 16S ribosomal RNA". It matches the Rfam family "Bacterial small subunit ribosomal RNA", at positions 524 to 776 of the family's 1533-position model. The record is from RNAcentral. Lineage: Bacteria; Bacillati; Bacillota; Clostridia; Lachnospirales; Lachnospiraceae.
UACGUAUGGUGCAAGCGUUAUCCGGAUUUACUGGGUGUAAAGGGUGAGUAGGCAGUCAUGCAAGUCAUAUGUGAAAUGUCAGGGCUUAACCUUGGCGCUGCAUAAGAAACUGUAUGACUAGAGUGCAGGAGAGGUAAGCGGAAUUCCUAGUGUAGCGGUGAAAUGCGUAGAUAUUAGGAAGAACACCGGUGGCGAAGGCGGCUUACUGGACUGUUACUGACGCUGAGUCACGAAAGCGUGGGGAGCAAACAGG